This 77-nucleotide transfer RNA is filed under the name bacterium. RNAcentral describes it as "tRNA-Ile". It matches the Rfam family "tRNA". From Rfam's summary of the family: Transfer RNA (tRNA) molecules are approximately 80 nucleotides in length. Their secondary structure includes four short double-helical elements and three loops (D, anti-codon, and T loops). Further hydrogen bonds mediate the characteristic L-shaped molecular structure. tRNAs have two regions of fundamental functional importance: the anti-codon, which is responsible for specific mRNA codon recognition, and the 3' end, to which the tRNAs corresponding amino acid is attached (by aminoacyl-tRNA synthetases). tRNAs cope with the degeneracy of the genetic code in two manners: having more than one tRNA (with a specific anti-codon) for a particular amino acid; and 'wobble' base-pairing, i.e. permitting non-standard base-pairing at the 3rd anti-codon position. RNAcentral also lists the same sequence under 1 other name. The record is from RNAcentral.
GGGCCUGUAGCUCAGCUGGUUAGAGCGUUCGCCUGAUAAGCGAGAGGUCACAGGUUCGACUCCUGUCAGGCCCACCA